RNAcentral lists this ribosomal RNA (451 nucleotides) under uncultured bacterium. RNAcentral describes it as "partial 16S ribosomal RNA". It matches the Rfam family "Bacterial small subunit ribosomal RNA", at positions 354 to 796 of the family's 1533-position model. The record is from RNAcentral.
GUGGGGAAUAUUGGACAAUGGGGGGAACCCUGAUCCAGCCAUGCCGCGUGUGUGAAGAAGGCCUUUUGGUUGUAAAGCACUUUAAGCGAGGAGGAGGCUACCGAGAUUAAUACUCUUGGAUAGUGGACGUUACUCGCAGAAUAAGCACCGGCUAACUCUGUGCCAGCAGCCGCGGUAAUACAGAGGGUGCAAGCGUUAAUCGGAUUUACUGGGCGUAAAGCGCGCGUAGGUGGCCAAUUAAGUCAAAUGUGAAAUCCCCGAGCUUAACUUGGGAAUUGCAUUCGAUACUGGUUGGCUAGAGUAUGGGAGAGGAUGGUAGAAUUCCAGGUGUAGCGGUGAAAUGCGUAGAGAUCUGGAGGAAUACCGAUGGCGAAGGCAGCCAUCUGGCCUAAUACUGACACUGAGGUGCGAAAGCGUGGGGAGCAAACAGGAUUAGAUACCCCAGUAGUCC